GAGUAAUGUCUGGGAAACUGCCUGAUGGAGGGGGAUAACUACUGGAAACGGUAGCUAAUACCGCAUAACGUCGCAAGACCAAAGAGGGGGACCUUCGGGCCUCUUGCCAUCGGAUGUGCCCAGAUGGGAUUAGCUAGUAGGUGGGGUAACGGCUCACCUAGGCGACGAUCCCUAGCUGGUCUGAGAGGAUGACCAGCCACACUGGAACUGAGACACGGUCCAGACUCCUACGGGAGGCAGCAGUGGGGAAUAUUGCACAAUGGGCGCAAGCCUGAUGCAGCCAUGCCGCGUGUAUGAAGAAGGCCUUCGGGUUGUAAAGUACUUUCAGCGGGGAGGAAGGG
This 341-nucleotide ribosomal RNA is filed under the name Escherichia coli. Its description in RNAcentral is "bacterial SSU rRNA". It matches the Rfam family "Bacterial small subunit ribosomal RNA", at positions 108 to 452 of the family's 1533-position model. The record is from RNAcentral. Lineage: Bacteria; Pseudomonadati; Pseudomonadota; Gammaproteobacteria; Enterobacterales; Enterobacteriaceae.